This is a long non-coding RNA of Poecilia reticulata (guppy), 462 nucleotides long. RefSeq lists it as uncharacterized. NCBI's taxonomy places the organism in Eukaryota, Metazoa, Chordata, Actinopteri, Cyprinodontiformes, Poeciliidae. The record is from RefSeq and is a predicted model, not a curated record.
GACUGAGGGACAGACUGAUGGACAGACAGACUGAGGGACAGACAGAUGGACAGACAGAUGGACUCUGGACUCAGGACGGUUGGUGCUGCUCUCGGCUGUAAUGUCUCGGCUCUGCCUGCAGGGGGAGCUGCUCCGGAUCCUGUAAUGAUUCCCGGCGGAUCUGCAGGAAUCUUUCCUGGUUCCUUCCUGGACUUCGAUUCGUCUCUGAAUGUUUGGCAUCGUUUGUCUCACCUGUCCAGGUGAACCAGCUGCCCUAUCAGCUCACCUGAUGCAGAACAUUCAGAGCUGAGUCACAUCCAGAGGAGCAAAGACGAUUCACUGAACUGGGUUUGAUCUCAUCUGGUCAACAGAAACCAGAUCAGCCUGGAAACAAACCAGCAGCAACAAAUCAUCUGGAAAACCAGCUGGUGCCGAACAGAGAUCAGUCUGAUGAUCUGAACUGAAACAUCUGGAUCUGAAAAU